GAUGAACGCUGGCGGCGUGCCUAAUACGUGCAAGUCGAGCGAACAGACGAGGAGCUUGCUCCUCUGACGUUAGCGGCGGACGGGUAAGUAACACGUGGAUAACCUACCUAUAAGACUGGGAUAACUUCGGGAAACCGGAGCUAAUACCGGAUAAUAUAUUGAACCGCAUGGUUCAAUAGUGAAAGACGGUUUUGCUGUCACUUAUAGAUGGAUCCGCGCCGCAUUAGCUAGUUGGUAAGGUAACGGCUUACCAAGGCAACGAUGCGUAGCCGACCUGAGAGGGUGAUCGGCCACACUGGAACUGAGACACGGUCCAGACUCCUACGGGAGGCAGCAGUAGGGAAUCUUCCGCAAUGGGCGAAAGCCUGACGGAGCAACGCCGCGUGAGUGAUGAAGGUCUUCGGAUCGUAAAACUCUGUUAUUAGGGAAGAACAAAUGUGUAAGUAACUAUGCACGUCUUGACGGUACCUAAUCAGAAAGCCACGGCUAACUACGUG
RNAcentral lists this ribosomal RNA (497 nucleotides) under uncultured bacterium. RNAcentral's name for it is "partial 16S ribosomal RNA". It matches the Rfam family "Bacterial small subunit ribosomal RNA", at positions 28 to 507 of the family's 1533-position model. The record is from RNAcentral.